CCGCCCGUGCUGCCCCCUCCCAACGCCUCCAGCCACCUCGCUGCCGCCGGAGCCCGCUACCGGAAAUCGUGCGGCCGGCCGGGAAGGCGGCGGCAGGGAAAACGUGCCGGCGGCGGAGCACCCCCUCGGCGUGGGAGGCGGUACGACGCACGCACGGCGGAAGGCGGCGGACGGAGCGGCCGGCGGGGCGGAUCCGGUCGCGCCGGACACGGAUUCGGCCUCCCCGGUGGAGGAUCUGGCCCCCUGCCGGCCAGAUCGGGAGAGGGGUGGCGGCAGCGCGGCAAGACGGCGGGCGGCCUCGAGCUCGCGGCGACGGCGACGCGGCAAGUCGGCGGGCGGCCCGAGCUCGCGGCGACAGCGGCGCUGCAAGAUGCUCGCGGCAGCGGGGGCGCGACUCGGCGGAACAGCUCGCGGCGGCGGCGGCCGCGACGGCGCGGCAACGCGGCUCGGAGGAGCAACCCGGUCGGCACGCAGCGGAGGCUGACCGGCCAAACGGCUGUUGGUGACGGCGGCGACGGUCGUGCCCGCCGUGGUGCUCGUGGCAGUUUGCGGCGGUGUCGGCUAGCAACGGUGGUGUCGGGCUGGCUACUUGGUGGCAGAGGACGACGGCGCAGCGGUUUGCGGAGGCGGAGGCUGGCAUCGGUAGCAGCGGUGACGGCGGCCGUGGCUGUGGACGGUGGCGACGUCAGCGGAUGCGGGUUGCUAGCGAGGUGGCUGGGCGUUCGGCAGCAGCGGCUGCGGUGGCGGUGACUGUGUCUGC
RNAcentral lists this long non-coding RNA (760 nucleotides) under Oryza sativa Indica Group (long-grained rice). RNAcentral's name for it is "lncRNA OsIR64_02g0001730". RNAcentral also lists the same sequence under 2 other names. Lineage: Eukaryota; Viridiplantae; Streptophyta; Magnoliopsida; Poales; Poaceae. The record is from RNAcentral.